GACGAACGCUGGCGGCGUGCUUAACACAUGCAAGUCGAACGGAAAGGCCCUGCUUUUGUGGGGUGCUCGAGUGGCGAACGGGUGAGUAACACGUGAGUAACCUGCCCUUGACUUUGGGAUAACUUCAGGAAACUGGGGCUAAUACCGGAUAGGAGCUCCUGUUGAAUGGUGGGGGUUGGAAAGUUUCGGCGGUUGGGGAUGGAGGCGAGGUUUAUCAGCUUGUUGGUGGGGUAGUGGGUUACCAAGGCUUUGACGGGUAGCCGGCCUGAGAGGGUGACCGGCCACAUUGGGACUGAGAUACGGCCCAGAGUCGUACUAUAUCCACCAGUUCAAAAUAUUCCACAAUAAUCGCAAGCCUGAUACAACAACUCCGCGUGCGGGAUGACGGCCUUCGGGUUGUAAACCUCUUUCUCCUUUAACAAACCCUCAGUAACAUUCAUUUAUAAAAAACCACCGGCUAACUACCUG
RNAcentral lists this ribosomal RNA (468 nucleotides) under uncultured bacterium. Its description in RNAcentral is "partial 16S ribosomal RNA". It matches the Rfam family "Bacterial small subunit ribosomal RNA", at positions 28 to 507 of the family's 1533-position model. The record is from RNAcentral.